GGGACAGUGGUGGAAUGGCAGACACAGCGGGCUUAAACCCCGCGGCCGCAAGGCGUGCGAGUUCGAAUCUCGCCUGUCCCA
Molecule: transfer RNA, 81 nt
Filed under: Dehalococcoidia bacterium
Lineage: Bacteria; Bacillati; Chloroflexota; Dehalococcoidia
Description: tRNA-Leu
Rfam family: tRNA
About the family: Transfer RNA (tRNA) molecules are approximately 80 nucleotides in length.
Source: RNAcentral